RNAcentral lists this small nuclear RNA (105 nucleotides) under Chinchilla lanigera (long-tailed chinchilla). Lineage: Eukaryota; Metazoa; Chordata; Mammalia; Rodentia; Chinchillidae. The record is from RNAcentral.
GUACGCUGUCUGGCAGCACGUAUGCUAAAAGUGAAAAGAUACAGAGAGGAUUACAUGGCCCCUGAACAAGGAUGUAUACAAAUUUGUGACACAUUCCACACUUAA